UACAGGCAGGGCUAGCGUUAUUCGGAAUUAUUGGGCGUAAAGGGUGCGUAGGCGGUAGUGUAAGUGAGAUAUUAAAUCCCCGGGCUUAACCUUGGAAUCGUAUCUCAUACUGCACUUCUGGAAUGUGUUAGAGGAAAACGGAAUUCCUAGUGUAGAGGUGAAAUUCGUAGAUAUUAGGAGGAACGCCAAAGGCGAAGGCAGUUUUCUGGGACAUUAUUGACGCUGAGGCACGAAAGCGUGGGGAGCAAACAGG
Molecule: ribosomal RNA, 253 nt
Filed under: uncultured bacterium
Lineage: Bacteria
Description: partial 16S ribosomal RNA
Rfam family: Bacterial small subunit ribosomal RNA
Source: RNAcentral